Molecule: transfer RNA, 89 nt
Filed under: Pseudomonas sp. NBRC 100443
Lineage: Bacteria; Pseudomonadati; Pseudomonadota; Gammaproteobacteria; Pseudomonadales; Pseudomonadaceae
Description: tRNA-Leu
Source: RNAcentral
GGGUCGCUGGCGAGGAUGUAUUCGGGGUUGAGGGUGCCGAUGGCGCCGGGGAUGCGCCCGGCGCCGAUGUUCUGCCCGCCGGCCAGCUC